This 1131-nucleotide ribosomal RNA is filed under the name Enterococcus hirae. RNAcentral describes it as "bacterial SSU rRNA". It matches the Rfam family "Bacterial small subunit ribosomal RNA", at positions 44 to 1134 of the family's 1533-position model. Lineage: Bacteria; Bacillati; Bacillota; Bacilli; Lactobacillales; Enterococcaceae. The record is from RNAcentral.
GGGGCUAAAACAUGCAAGUCGAACGCUUCUUUUUCCACCGGAGCUUGCUCCACCGGAAAAAGAGGAGUGGCGAACGGGUGAGUAACACGUGGGUAACCUGCCCAUCAGAAGGGGAUAACACUUGGAAACAGGUGCUAAUACCGUAUAACAAUCGAAACCGCAGGGUUUUGAUUUGAAAGGCGCUUUCGGGUGUCGCUGAUGGAUGGACCCGCGGUGCAUUAGCUAGUUGGUGAGGUAACGGCUCACCAAGGCGACGAUGCAUAGCCGACCUGAGAGGGUGAUCGGCCACAUUGGGACUGAGACACGGCCCAAACUCCUACGGGAGGCAGCAGUAGGGAAUCUUCGGCAAUGGACGAAAGUCUGACCGAGCAACGCCGCGUGAGUGAAGAAGGUUUUCGGAUCGUAAAACUCUGUUGUUAGAGAAGAACAAGGAUGAGAGUAACUGUUCAUCCCUUGACGGUAUCUAACCAGAAAGCCACGGCUAACUACGUGCCAGCAGCCGCGGUAAUACGUAGGUGGCAAGCGUUGUCCGGAUUUAUUGGGCGUAAAGCGAGCGCAGGCGGUUUCUUAAGUCUGAUGUGAAAGCCCCCGGCUCAACCGGGGAGGGUCAUUGGAAACUGGGAGACUUGAGUGCAGAAGAGGAGAGUGGAAUUCCAUGUGUAGCGGUGAAAUGCGUAGAUAUAUGGAGGAACACCAGUGGCGAAGGCGGCUCUCUGGUCUGUAACUGACGCUGAGGCUCGAAAGCGUGGGGAGCAAACAGGAUUAGAUACCCUGGUAGUCCACGCCGUAAACGAUGAGUGCUAAGUGUUGGAGGGUUUCCGCCCUUCAGUGCUGCAGCUAACGCAUUAAGCACUCCGCCCGGGGGAGUACGACCGCAAGGUUGAAACUCAAAGGAAUUGACGGGGGCCCGCACAAGCGGUGGAAGCAGGUGGUUUAAUUCGAAGCAACGCGAAAAACCUUACCAGGUCUUGACAUCCUUUGACCACUCUAGAAAAUAGAGCUUCCCCUUCGGGGGCAAAGUGACAGGGGGGUGCAUGGUUGUCCUCACCUCCGGUCCUGGAGAUGUUGGGGUUAAAUUCCCCGCACCCAAACGCCAACCCUUUUUUGUUAAUUCCCCACCUUUUAAUUUGG